Molecule: long non-coding RNA, 973 nt
Filed under: Zea mays
Lineage: Eukaryota; Viridiplantae; Streptophyta; Magnoliopsida; Poales; Poaceae
Description: drought responsive lncRNA
Source: RNAcentral
GUUACAACGCUUUACCACCUCAGUAGCGCUUAAAAGGCGCUUAAGCGCCUUUUUAAUAACACUGCUACUUUGUGAAAGGAAAAAUAGUUUUGAGAUCCACCAGUAAGAUUUCCAAUAAACUAUUUCUUGAAAAAUGUGGCAUGACCACACUUCAAUAAACAUAUCUUGUAGUCUGUGUACUGUGGUUACUAGUGAAACAGCUCAUUUUUGUUCUUCCUUUUUAAAUACAGCACACAUCUGGAGAUAGGAUAUUCAUAUUGUGUUCGUAUCAAAUGCACAUGACCCAUCACCCAUCUGGAGUGCACAUAUUAAAUCUGGACCCUUCGUUCAACAAUUCAGCAAUCAAUGACUGAAAGAGGAUGUAAAGGGAAUGCAGGUAGAGCUAAUGGCCCAAGCUAAAAGAAUGAAUCAUGAUUAUCAUUCGAGGCAAUUCCUUUAUCAUAUUUCAUCUGCUGUAUUCUCCAAGUGACAUUUUCACUGAUGUAUGCUCGAUAACUCCAAUAAAGGCAUAAAGCGAGAGAUGCUACAGCUUUGUUGAAUGCAAACAGGUUUGCUCGUGUUGAAUUAUUGUAAGGCCGCGCAUAGCAGAGCGUGCAUAUGUUGAAUUAUUGUUGAAUGCAAACAUUGUUUUGUACCGUAGACUAUAUUGUUUACAGAGUAGAGUUUGAAAUAGAUUAGAGUUUGAAAUAGAGUAAAGUUUGAAAUAGAGUAGAGUUUGAAAUAGUGAGUAAGAUAGGAGAUGAGAUAGAGAGGCUGCUGGAGAUAGCCUAUCGUAUUACAAGUGCAGAAACUUGCUCCAGCUUGCUUGGGACAAAAGAAUCUGAUGCCAUUUUUGUUGUUAUUCCAGAACAGCACAACUCAACUAUCAGGGUUUUUUUAUCUGGUUAUAAGCUGUUGUUUUGUACUGAGAUUUCAUUGUUCACUUGAAGAAACCCUUGCUGGGAGAGCAGAAUGCAUGGUGCUGUUUAAGUGA